This 6144-nucleotide long non-coding RNA is filed under the name Pomacea canaliculata. RNAcentral's name for it is "uncharacterized LOC112569692". The record is from RNAcentral. Lineage: Eukaryota; Metazoa; Mollusca; Gastropoda; Architaenioglossa; Ampullariidae.
UUGACGAAAAGUCUACGAAAAUUGUCAGUCUUACUUUCGGUAAGGCAAUGUUUCGUGUAAAGGCUUACACGACAGAAGUCACUGAAGAUGUUUCUUAACAUCAGUGUCUUUCAAAGAUAACACCAGUAGGAAAGUGAUCUGUGCCCUGGAGGGCCGAACCACCUGAUCUCAUCCUGUGGGUGGGACUAGCAGAGAAAAUCAGCAGCUUCCAUGGAAACUGGACGUUGACUCUUAGCGUAAUAAAGAAGGUUCUUCCAGCACAACAUUUAGUGUUCUAGACAGUAAGUACCCAACAUUAUUUAAAGAAAAAAAAAAAAACUUUCAAGUGUACAAAUGCAAUUGAUUUAUAGAAAUGAUUGCAUUUUUGUAUGGAAUACAGAGUAUAUACAUACACACACUUGUUUGUCACAAAAAUAUUUAGUGUAAUAUAAUGUCAAUAACCAAAUCAUCAGGAUUGAUAUUGAUACCAUCCAGUCUUGAGAGUUUGAGCUGAUGAUAAUAUUUACGACAAUAUGUUACUGAAGUGUUUAUGUUUACAAACGUCAAUUCUUUUAGUGCACGAUGAAGGUUUUCAUACAUGUAUCUGGAGAAAAGAAGGGGUGAAGUUUUUAAGAUUUGGGUAAAUAGUAUUUUGCGUUGAGUUUUGCCCAAUUAUUAGAUACGCUAGUCCUUUCAUAAAAACUUUAAAUACCAACAUUUAUAGCAGAGCAUACGAAUAACAGAAACACAUUCGAUAUGUUAAUGAAAUUAAACAAUAAACAAACCUACAUAGUCCUAGCAGUCUAAAUUGCAAUCAGUAAUGCAGCAGUAUAAAUCCAAUUUCCCGAUCUUACUGUUAGCUUCCUUUUAUGAAAUAUCCGUUUAUCCAUGAGGUAUGCAUUGUCGAAAGAAAACAUCAUCGGACGGGAUUUUAAAACCACAUAAAGUUACAGAUAUACUGACAAGACUAGGAAUAAUUAAAAAUUUUAAGAGUAUGGAUGGAUGUCGGUUUAUUGUGUAGUUAUAAUUACGUUUAUUACGUAACGCGAUUUGUCACCUUCACUGUUUAUCUGAUAACUGUCACCGAUGUGCUCACUUGCUGGACAUGUCCGUUACUAUUGAAUGACGUCAACGAGAAUGAAGUAUAUUAAAAACUUUCUUGAGAUGUUUUUGCACGGCGGACACGAAGAAACAAAAGGAAUCAACAAAGUAAGGUAUGGUUACAUUUCAAUAAGAUAAGUAAAAGAUAUUAGAACAGUUUUGUGUACAUUGUAAUUUUCACGUACGAAAAAAAGCGCACCUGUCUAAGCUUGCCCACACUCACGAGCGCACAGAAAGAAAAGUCAUCUUUGUGUCACACAAAGUUACAAUUCUUUGUUCAUCAUCAGGACCUUUAUAUCAACAACAGCUGCACAAGGUGAGAUUCAAACUGGGACGUUAAAAGGAAAGAACAGUAAGUUCAGUGUGGAGGUAGGAAUGGCAACAUUAAUAAAAGUGUUUCCAAUACACUUAUGUUUUGAGAGAGAUAGAAAUUGUUACACAUUAAUCGGCUCCCUUAACAAUAUAUUAAGAGAAGAGUAUAUUUUUAUGUUGCACAGAUCGUGAGUUCAUUAAAUUUGGAAAACCAAAAUGGAUAAAAAUACUCCGUUCUUUAUAGCUUUGGAAGACUUUAUUUUCAGGUUACACAUCCCAUACGUCCAUCUGCCAGUCUCUUUUUUAUUUCCUUAUCUGUAAGUGUAAUUGAAGGGUAUUAUAAGGAAAUGUAUGCUUUUAACUCGCAUUCAUUGCAUCUUUGUUACAACAAGAAGCUGAAGCUGCUACUCAAGCUGUGAAGCAAAUUAAAUAUGUACCCAGAACAUGUGCCCACGUACCUAGUAAUGGCAAAAGGAAUGUCCGACAGUAGGAUGAGUGUAAGCCAAGAACGAAACAUAAUGAACAAUUUUUCCAGAACCCUUUAAGUAAUUGCAGUAAGAAAACUAUAAGAAACUUAAAGUAUUUUGUUUAGUUUUACUGCUAUAAACAAGCAACUUGCAGCAUAUAGAACAACCCAGACAGUACAGGGUGUUUGGUCAACAUUGGCUCAGUGCUCUCGGUGUUGGUUAUAUUUUAUAAUUUAUCUAUAUUUUUGUUUCUUGCUAGUUUUUUUUCUUCUAGGUGCUCAUUGAUUUAUGAAUUAAACACUCGAAAGGAAAAAGAUUGAACUGUUUCCAUAGGAGCUUCCACCUCUUAUAAGUCAUAUCGUAUCCUCCCCAACGAGCGGAAAUAGCUGGUUGGCCAGUUUACUUUGACUCUAGACAAACUCCAAACUCUUGUACAUUUUUAGGUAAAAAAUUUUGUUGUAAAUCUGUUGUUUUACAGAAUCAAGUGCGGAAUUUCUCUGACAAAAUCGAAUUCAACCAGACUGCUGGUUUGCCUAGUGUCAGGUAAAAGUGCAUGCCCUGGAAACAGGUACCAUGGGUAUAGUUCUUUGUUAUGUGAUCACUUUUUCUUACCCAAGUUCAAAAGGUUAUAAUUAAAUCUGUAUUAACAUGUAUUAACAUGUAAAUUUUUUUAGAUGUUCAGAGAGCAUUUAUGUGAGAGGCUUCAUUGCGUGGUAGUUAAUGCUAUCAGCAGAUAUGAUAUUAUAGGGAUGGUAAAGGAUGAUUAAGAAGAGGAUUAGAUUCUUCUAUACCCUGGAGACAGAAAACAUAUUUAUUCCAAUUUAACUGAGGUUGAAAAAAACAUUUGGAAAUAAAGAUAUAGAGAGGUAUAUAUAUUUAUCUGAAGGAAGGAAUUAAAAUGUCCCAUAAAACGGCCAUAAAUCUGACAGGCCCGUGAGGCAGAGUAUGCAACUUUUUUCCAUUGAACUGUAUAAGUAAUUAGUCAUCAGAGCAGGAGAAGGGACUGUGUUGUCUACCUCACAAAAUCGAAAGUUAAAAUCACCAGUCUACUGAAAUCCAAACAAUUAAACUAAGUAUAAGCCUUCUCAGUGAGAAUUAAUGAACACGGACAUUUCUUCCAAGUACUAACAACAAUGGAGUGUGUGUGCUCAAAAAUGACAGGAAGCAGAUGGAUGCUGCUUACUUCCUCCUAGAGUCUCUGCUACAGAGUAGAUUAUUAAUGGUCAUUUCAUUUUACUUUAAAAUGCAGUUUAAGUUUUAUUUAUUUAUUUUUCAUGAUUUGUCCUCUCGCCAUAGUACUUGUAGAAUUAUCCUUCUUAAAACAACAACUGAUUCCAGAGAGCACUUGAAGUCUGGAAUGAAUAAAAAUAAACACGGUUUUUUGUUCUUUGCUAAGACGCAAUGAUCAUCAAAAUAGAGAUGAAGAACCUCACAGAAUUUGUUUUAUGACAGGUAAGAGUACAGGUGAUUAUCUGUUGAGGCAAGUGAAUGAAGUUAGACUAUACGAACUUGUAAGGCUUUCGAAUUAAGUUGCAGACGCUCCAGUGCUGAAAUUGUCCUUCCUUCCGAAAUUUCUCCUUGAAAUUAAAAUCUCCAUUUCGCGAACGUAGAAAAAAAGUUUGGAGGGACAAUGACAGCUGAGCUUCAAUUUAUUUUUGAUUAGCAUUUUCUAAUGAAGGCGUUUGAAUAAGAAGGAAUACGCAGACAGAAUAAAGAUUAAAAACUUGACAGGGAUGUGUAAGACUGUGCAUUGGUUUUAGGGCGCUCACAGUAUGAUAGUAUUUCCUGCUUCAGAGAUGGGCAGCGAUGGUUUGACAGCAGAUUUAAUGUCCACCUCGCCAGGAUUAUUCUUGUAUUAAUCUCCUGCGAACACAGGGAUGUCUUCUAAAGUAGAGUCAGGCCUUUCGGUAUCCUGUGGGAAGGAAGUUGACCAUCUGCAUUCAAUUGAAACACUUUAGAGUUUGGUCUCUGAAAAACUUAACUGUUUAAAGUAUUGAUGCUUCCCUGUUUUUCGUACUCUUAACCGGUGACAUGUGCUAUCAAUCGUCUAGAAUAUUUAUAGUUUAAACAGUGUACUUAAAAGUUUUAGUCAUCAAAAACUCUGAAAAAAACGUGUCACAAUCCUUUCAAAAUGAUCCCCAACCUUAUCCCUAUAUUUAUUUAGUUUGGAAAACUAGCACUUAUUUUAUUUGUGUAACUGAGCACACUUUUGGGAAUAAUUAGCCACUAGGAUUAAUAAAGUUGGUCAUUGUCAUUCCAUCCAUCCAUUCAUCUGAAUGGGACAUUCAUCCCACUAUUAGCACAUUAAUUUAUAGAAACAUUAUAAAGUGCAUUGUGAUAGUAAAAGCUCUGCUCUUUGACACGGCCUUUAUUUGAACUCCGAAAGUGUGAAUAAUGAGAAUGUACCCCAGCAUGCAUCCUAGUAUUUACUGUAAUGUGUCUCAGUUUAUGUUGUUGAAUGCGCUGUCGGUCUCUGCAUCAUUAUGUCACAUGAAUCCCUAGCAUUAUUUAUUGUGAGAUAAUACCUGUAAUUUUCCUUAAAAAAUAAAUAAAGGCGCUCUUCUGCUGAAAAAAAGUAGAUAACAUUGUAAAAUUGAAAGCACAGGAGGAUUGCUAUGCUAGCUGUUCAUUGGCAUGGGCGGAAUGUGCACUAGUUUUCAACAAAGGUGACAUUGUUAAUACACAUUAAUUACAAUAAUACCUACAAGGAAAUUUAAACUUUAGGUACCUCGGAACAGACAAGUCCGCAUUUCUAUAUAAGGUCAUUCUGCCAAUCCCAAUUACAGAAGUGUAAAGACACUACACCCGAAUAUGAAGUUCUUCAAUCAAAAUUCACUGUGUCCUAUUGAUGCUUCUUACACUAACAACAAAGGUGCUUCUUUUGACAUGUGGAGAAUCUAAUUUUAGCGAAACUCUGCAUCAGAAAGAACAUGGAUUCAUAAAUAUCAGUUAUACCAUCGAGCUGACCGCAAGCUUGGUGUCGUCAGACUCGUUUACUUACAUCUAUCAGACUUGUGAUGACAAUAAGAAAGGACUCAGCUGCACCUUUGAAUGGAGAAAGAACAACAGCAGCAGAUUUGGAAAGGUGUUUGGUAAAAAAACAGGUGUGAUUUGUAUCGGGGAGCAACGAAACCUGAGCAGCUCUGUAGUGACUUUAGAUAUUCACAUUUCUCAGGUCGUCACCAGGUCACUGACUGUCAUGGAGCUUUCCCCCCUGGGAGUGAAAGAUGCCCAAAAUAACACGGAUAAUGCGUGUUGAGGUUUUGUAUCCACCCAACAUCACCAGUCUCACUGUGGAAGGACAAGAGGUUAACAAUGAUUAUGUCGUUGACAAAGGUAAGGAGGUGAAUGUUUCCUGCUUUUAUAAGCAGGGGAAUCCUCCAGCCUUUUUUCAUCUGUUGAAUAAACAUGGAACUGAACUGAAAUCUUCACACGAAGGAAGCUUGAGCUACUCUCUCACUGCCCAGUGUGAAGAUGACUGGCCGGUAGUCAGGUGUGAAGGCAACGGGACCCUGCAAAACAGAUCCGUGACAUUCCUCGUCAGGUGUUUUUAUGAAGAUGUAUGAGUACAAAUGAGUGAGUAUUUAGUGUUAGAAGAGAGAAAAUGAAACAGCAUCUUGGUGAAUGCUUUGUAUAUUAUAUUUUCUGUGCUGUAUAUCAUUUACUGUCUUCCCUUCUGUAUCCGCCACCUUUCCAUCAUCGAAUCAUUUAAACGAGCACUAUCAUCACACACGUUUUAUAAGCAUUACACUAGUGUUAAUCCAUUUUCUAACCUUUUCUUUCAGUUUUUUCUGCUUAGUAGUUGUUAAUAGUUGUGAUUAUUGAGUAGUCUGCAUGCUCGUCUAUAUCUGCAGAUUUAUUAAACUGUUGCUUUUUACUGUUUGUUCCCUGAUUCGUCUUUGCUUCUUUCAUGUUUACUUUUAUUUUAUGUCUACACUGUUGUUUCUUCUUCGGUCCUUUGUAUGCUGUCCAUGUCUCCUUCUCACUAACUGAGAGCAUGCUUCUUCGUGAGCAUAAUCAAGCGUUAAAUAUAUCACUUUCUUCUUAUUAAUCUUCUAAUUAAUAAGUUUACAAAAUUAAAAGGUUGUUUACAGAAAUGAAUUUCGUAGGUGUGUUUGAGCCUUUAGAGAUACAUAAAUAUCAGGCCUUAUACAUUCUAACCCAUGUGGAAUGCUGUGUUAUGUGACCUAAAAUACUGUUUGAUUCUAUAUUGCUCAUACAUGUUUUGUUUUAUAAUAGUAAUUAAUUUCAUCUUACCUCUGUUAAUUAUUUAAUUUUUUUUUAA